AUACGGAGGAUCCGAGCGUUAUCCGGAUUUAUUGGGUUUAAAGGGAGCGUAGGUGGAUUGUUAAGUCAGUUGUGAAAGUUUGCGGCUCAACCGUAAAAUUGCAGUUGAAACUGGCAGUCUUGAGUACAGUAGAGGUGGGCGGAAUUCGUGGUGUAGCGGUGAAAUGCUUAGAUAUCACGAAGAACUCCGAUUGCGAAGGCAGCUGACCAGACUGCAAAUGACGCUCAUGCACGAAAGUGCGGGGAUCGAACAGGAUUAGAUACCCUGGUAGUCCGCACAGUAAACGAUGAAUACUUGUUUUCGGCGAUAUAAUGUCGGAGGCAAAGCGAAAGCGAUAAGUAUUCCACCUGGGGAGUACGCCGGCAACGGUGAAACUCAAAGGAAUUGACGGGG
Molecule: ribosomal RNA, 393 nt
Filed under: uncultured bacterium
Lineage: Bacteria
Description: partial 16S ribosomal RNA
Rfam family: Bacterial small subunit ribosomal RNA
Source: RNAcentral